AGCAUUGUAAACGACAUGACGUACGAUGACAAGAUUGACAACCUAAGCUGAGUGUAUCCAAUGCAGCAGGAAUGUCUCUGCCAGCCCAGUUACGAGUGGUGAUUAAAGAUUGUGAUGUGAGGAAGCUUACCCUUCCCUCUGGCAUUCCUCAAACAUUAGAAGCACUUCGUUCAAUAAUCCUGGAGACAUUCCAACUUGAUGGGGAUUUUUCUCUAAUGUAUGAAGAUAAAGAUUUUGGCAAUGAAUAUUUCACUCUGACCUCAACAGCAGAUAUAAAUGACAAGAGCACAAUCAAAAUCGUCCAAGUAGAGUCCACAGUCACCCUUACCUUCAGCCCUAUAGCUGAAUCUGACUUGGUGGUGAGUUCUACUCCAAGAUCACAUCAAAAUUCAGAGGUACAAUGCAGUGCAGAUGAUAGCUUGGCCAGUAGCUCAAGAGACACAGUGAUCCUUCCGGAUUCUUGCCGAUUGGAUCCUUGGCCUCUACACUUUGAGAUACCCAAGUUUUCACGUGAUGUGGAGUUGAUUCUGCAAGAGGCAAACAAACAGUACCAUAUGAAUGGUACAUCAUUCGAUGACGCAAGGGUGAAGGCAGCUAUUAGGCAGACUUUAUCUGAUUCAAUCUUCCAAUAUACAGCUUAUCCCACGGAUCACCACAUACUACAAGUUGUUGAAGCGCUUGUGGGGAAGUUUCCAUGUCUCAAGGAGCCUGGGUCCUUCUCAGGGAUGUAUGGCUGGCAGCAAAGUUUAAAAACGAGGAUGAGCAACUUCCGACGCAUGCUGAAAAGCCGAAACAUAUCCUGCCCUGAGAUUGAGGUGAAUUUUUUAAAAAGGAAGGAUUCGAGCAACCAGGCCCCGGCAAAAAAACAUAAAAAGGGCAGAAGUUAACUAUCUUCCUCCCUUUCCUGUGGGAGAAACAAAGGAGGGUUUGGAGAAAGAGAGACUUGAUUUGCUUUAUGAGGUAAAGAAGAAACACAACGAAAGAACAAUCACAGCCAAAAUGGCCAAAACAUUUGCAAUUCGAAGACUUGAAGUGGUGCAUGAUGGUCCCUCUGUCCAAGAGUUCAUAGCGCGAUGGCCUGGCUUAUUCCGAGAGGAUCAAGUGAAGGAGGAGUUCAGAAGAAUCACAGCCAUUCCACUUGAGGCGACAUUCCUGGGCAAACUUGACCAUUACACACCACAGCUUCUCAAAGUGAUGAGAGCCAAGGGAGGAGUGGCUGGAUCCAAGAUUCGUCCUAUAUUGGAUACUCUGUGCCAGCUCCAUAGUAUCGACCAACAAAGAGAUGCAGUCAUCUGCAGCCUCAUGGAGUACAUUUGGA
This is a long non-coding RNA of Alosa alosa (allis shad), 1318 nucleotides long. RefSeq lists it as uncharacterized. NCBI's taxonomy places the organism in Eukaryota, Metazoa, Chordata, Actinopteri, Clupeiformes, Clupeidae. The transcript is spliced from 4 exons. The record is from RefSeq and is a predicted model, not a curated record.